CACAAGGCCCUUGUCAGGGCCACCAUAACAAGGAACCAGAACCAGU
Non-coding RNA from Operophtera brumata (winter moth), 46 nucleotides. Lineage: Eukaryota; Metazoa; Arthropoda; Insecta; Lepidoptera; Geometridae. The record is from Rfam.